UGAGUAAUUCUCUAAUCUCCUUUAUAAAUAACUACUAAUGUGGAAUAAUUGAAAGCACAUCAUAUUUUGAAUGCAAUUUAAUUUAUAAAUUCUGGCUUUACCUCUAAUUCAUGAUAUGCCUUUGAGCAGAUUUUUUAUCUGAAUUCUUGUAUUUGAUUUUCUGGAAAACAAAAGCUCUUAACUUUCAGCGCUAAAAUUAUAUGUUAUACUAAUCAGUACUUAACAUGUAUUUGGUUAUUUUUUGGAAGAGAAACUACUGAGUUUAAAAAUUUUAUGCUUGCAUAAAAGGGGAAUUUGAACAUAUUUUAUGGACUACUUGCCAGAAGUAGUGAAACUGUCUCUUGUUGAAAGCUCAUUCAAAAAUUUGUCUUAGUCUGUUUUAUAGUGUUUUAACAAAAUAAGAGAGAGUGAGUAAUUUAUAAAGAACAGUCCUUUCUUUUCUGACAGUUCUGGAGUCUGGGAAAUCCAAGAUGAAAAUAUCAACAUUUGGUGUCUCAGGGCCUUCUUGUUGCAUCCUCACACGGUAGCAGGCAGAAGGGCAGGAGAGCAAGCUAGUCCAAUGUGUGAAGCCUCAUUCAUAAGGGCCUUAAUCCCAUGAAGGAGGAAGGAGCCGUCUUGGCCUUAUAACCUCUUAAAAGUCCUACCUCUUAAUAUCAUCACAUUGGCAACACUUGAAUUUUGGAGAAGACUUAGAUCAUUAUAAGAUGAAAGAAGAGCCUAUGAGUGGGAAACAGGUGGAGGAUGAAGGAACUGAAAAAGAAAAUUGGGCAAUAUUAAAGAAAAUUAGGAAGACUGAAAGCCUUUAUCUCCCAGGCUCCAGUGGUCCUCCUGCCUCAGCUUCCCAAGUGUCUCAGACUACAGGUAUGUGCCACCACACCAAGCUAAUGUUUUUGAUUUUUUAGUUGAGAUGAGGUCUGACUGUGUUGACCAUGCUGGUCUUGAACACUUGAGUUCAAGCACUCCUGCUACCUUACCCUG
This 978-nucleotide long non-coding RNA is filed under the name Cercocebus atys (sooty mangabey). Its description in RNAcentral is "lncRNA (ENSCATG00000045423.1)". The record is from RNAcentral. Lineage: Eukaryota; Metazoa; Chordata; Mammalia; Primates; Cercopithecidae.